UACGAAGGGGGCUAGCGUUGCUCGGAAUCACUGGGCGUAAAGGGUGCGUAGGCGGGUCUUUAAGUCCGGGGGGAAAUCCUGGAGCUCAACUCCAGAACUGCCUUUGAUACUGAAGAUCUUGAGUUCGGGAGAGGUGAGUGGAACUGCGAGUGUAGAGGUGAAAUUCGUAGAUAUUCGCAAGAACACCAGUGGCGAAGGCGGCUCACUGGCCCGAUACUGACGCUGAGGUGCGAAAGCGUGGGGAGCAAACAGG
Molecule: ribosomal RNA, 253 nt
Filed under: uncultured bacterium
Lineage: Bacteria
Description: partial 16S ribosomal RNA
Rfam family: Bacterial small subunit ribosomal RNA
Source: RNAcentral